RNAcentral lists this ribosomal RNA (480 nucleotides) under uncultured bacterium. RNAcentral describes it as "bacterial SSU rRNA". It matches the Rfam family "Bacterial small subunit ribosomal RNA", at positions 30 to 503 of the family's 1533-position model. The record is from RNAcentral.
AUUGAACGCUGGCGGUAGGCCUAACACAUGCAAGUCGAGCGGUAGAGAGGUGCUUGCAUCUCUUGAGAGCGGCGGACGGGUGAGUAAUGCCUAGGAAUCUGCCUAGUGGUGGGGGAUAACGUUCGGAAACGGACGCUAAUACCGCAUACGUCCUACGGGAGAAAGCGGGGGAUCUUCGGACCUCGCGCCAUUAGAUGAGCCUAGGUCGGAUUAGCUAGUUGGUGAGGUAAUGGCUCACCAAGGCGACGAUCCGUAACUGGUCUGAGAGGAUGAUCAGUCACACUGGAACUGAGACACGGUCCAGACUCCUACGGGAGGCAGCAGUGGGGAAUAUUGGACAAUGGGCGAAAGCCUGAUCCAGCCAUGCCGCGUGUGUGAAGAAGGUCUUCGGAUUGUAAAGCACUUUAAGUUGGGAGGAAGGGUAGUAACCUAAUACGUUGCUACUUUGACGUUACCGACAGAAUAAGCACCGGCUAACUU